Molecule: ribosomal RNA, 318 nt
Filed under: Klebsiella pneumoniae
Lineage: Bacteria; Pseudomonadati; Pseudomonadota; Gammaproteobacteria; Enterobacterales; Enterobacteriaceae
Also listed under: 1 other name
Description: bacterial SSU rRNA
Rfam family: Bacterial small subunit ribosomal RNA
Source: RNAcentral
CACACGUGCUACAAUGGACAAUACAAAGGGCAGCGAAACCGCGAGGUCAAGCAAAUCCCAUAAAGUUGUUCUCAGUUCGGAUUGUAGUCUGCAACUCGACUACAUGAAGCUGGAAUCGCUAGUAAUCGUAGAUCAGCAUGCUACGGUGAAUACGUUCCCGGGUCUUGUACACACCGCCCGUCACACCACGAGAGUUUGUAACACCCGAAGCCGGUGGAGUAACCUUUUAGGAGCUAGCCGUCGAAGGUGGGACAAAUGAUUGGGGUGAAGUCGUAACAAGGUAGCCGUAUCGGAAGGUGCGGCUGGAUCACCUCCUUU